Molecule: ribosomal RNA, 372 nt
Filed under: uncultured organism
Description: partial 16S ribosomal RNA
Rfam family: Bacterial small subunit ribosomal RNA
Source: RNAcentral
GUAGGUGGCAAGCGUUGUCCGGAAUUAUUGGGCGUAAAGCGCGCGCAGGCGGUUCUUUAAGUCUGAUGUGAAAGCCCACGGCUCAACCGUGGAGGGUCAUUGGAAACUGGAGAACUUGAGUACAGAAGAGGAAAGCGGAAUUCCACGUGUGGCGGUGAAAUGCGUAGAGAUGUGGAGGAACACCAGUGGCGAAGGCGGCUUUCUGGUCUGUAACUGACGCUGAGGCGCGAAAGCGUGGGGAGCAAACAGGAUUAGAUACCCUGGUAGUCCACGCCGUAAACGAUGAGUGCUAAGUGUUAGGGGGUUUCCGCCCCCCUUAGUGCUGCAGCUAACGCAUUAAGCACUUCGCCUGGGAGUACGGCCGCAAGGCUG